RNAcentral lists this ribosomal RNA (50 nucleotides) under Alternaria sp. RNAcentral's name for it is "partial 28S ribosomal RNA". The record is from RNAcentral. Lineage: Eukaryota; Fungi; Ascomycota; Dothideomycetes; Pleosporales; Pleosporaceae.
UUCAACUUUUGACCUCGGAUCAGGUAGGGAUACCCGCUGAACUUAAGCAU